RNAcentral lists this long non-coding RNA (869 nucleotides) under Homo sapiens (human). Its description in RNAcentral is "HSALNT0205919". The record is from RNAcentral. Lineage: Eukaryota; Metazoa; Chordata; Mammalia; Primates; Hominidae.
ACUUUUUAAAAGGUUUUUACUGAUAGCUUACAAUUAAUGACAUUGUAUACAUUCAAAUUUAAAUCAGGUUUUAAAAAUACGCUAAAUGUUUUAGGGUUAGCAUUAUUAUCAAAGAAAAUCAUAGGCUGUCCAGGUCAGAGAGAACAAGGCUCCUCUGGCUCAUGCUAAAGCCAGACAAAUUGUGCCACAGUUGACUAGGACCAUUUCAUAGACAGUGGUGAACCGAGGCAGUGACUCUGUUGACUGGGAACGGCUCAUAGCCCGCUCUAAGCUGAUACGAGCCACACUGGCAUGAGCCACACUGCAGGGCACUCCUGCUGGCUUCCUGCUUCAGCAGUGCCAAGGGAAAGGAGCUGGGGACUUAGAACUCAUCCCAAGACACAGCCACGGGGCCACAGCCACACUACAGGUCCCCUCGCAGGUGGCCACCACCGCCAGGACCCAGAGCCACCUUCCAGACUUGCCACUACUCUGCCCUGGAUGAUGUGACUUGGAAGAACUUUGCCAGCCCCUUGAGGAGAGGAGACAUGCUGACACACUGAUGAUGCCACAGAAUUGAAGUGGCAGAAUCUUCUUCUGGACAUCAGUAACCCAGAUGGGAAGGACUGGGAACACCUGGGUGUAAUGGAUUCACUUCAUGCUGGAGAAAUGUGAGUUGGUUGUUGCUGGAAUUGCACAAAGUAUCCCCAGCAAAAAUCCCUUCCUACUCUGGCAAACGUGCUGGCAGACAGUGACGACUUGAUGCAGCAAUGCGUGUCUGGGUUAGCUUUCGUCAUCCCAGAGCCAUCCACCCCCUUCGUCAACCUCCUGCCCAAUAUAUCUGUGGUGCGUGUACGUGAAUGGGCACUCGUGUGUGUGUGAGAGAGGGA